Lycium barbarum (goji berry) is the source of this 1312-nucleotide long non-coding RNA. RefSeq lists it as uncharacterized. The transcript has 2 exons. NCBI's taxonomy places the organism in Eukaryota, Viridiplantae, Streptophyta, Magnoliopsida, Solanales, Solanaceae. The record is from RefSeq and is a predicted model, not a curated record.
UCCUCGUACACAAUUUGGACCGCGAACUCCUCCAACUGUAACUCACACAUCAAUGCAACAGAAAUCUUGACUUUAUCACCUCUAUCCAGGCACCAAAGGUACAUUGAAACGUAUUGGAUUUCCUAUGCUUCUAUAUGCAAACCACGGUGGCAUCCCAGUUUUGGGAAGAGAAGUGCUGAAUAUUCCAAACUCAUAGAGACCCUAUUCAAGCGAAGAGCCAAGAAUAUUAGCAUGCAUAAAUCAAAAAGGAAGAAGGAAGAUUGGAAACAAAGAGCAGACUCAUAAAUAAGACACAGAUACAGAAAGAGCGUACCUGGAUGGGUCUUAUCCGUCUGGUCUUGGUGAGGAAGUUGUACAAAUUUACAUGGACCUUAUUCAGGAUUUCUAUGUCUAUCAGGCUGAACAUAUUGGUCAGGUUAGAAUCAAAACUCCCAAUGGGUUUUAACUGGAACAGUUCCUCAACCACUCUUAGUUUUCCACAGUAAAAGCCAAGAAAACUUAAGGAUGUCAACAAGUUUGGUAAAUUUGUUAUCACUUCUAAGGAUCUGCAUUCGUGGAUACUUAAGGAAUUUAAAGUCUUUGGAAGCUCUGGAAGAAACUGAAGCUCUCUACAACGCUCCAGCUGAAGCGAUCGAAGGCGAGGAAGAUAUUUGAUGCCCUUAGGCAGGCUAGUGAUUGGGUUUUCAUUAAGAAUCAAUUCUUGCAGCAUAAAUAGGUUGCCAAGGUCACAUGGAAUUGCAUCAUCUGUUACUUUGCAAUCAACGAGACUUAAAAUUUGCAAUGAGCGUGAUAGUGAAGCCAAUGUGAAACUGAGAGACUUUGAACCAUCUCUUGGAUUUGGCGGCAAUGACCAAAAAACUGACCCCACUAAAUUCUUGUCAGCCAUGGAAAAAGGUGGUUGAUUUAUUGGAGUCCCACCUGCAUAAAGUUGCUUCAGAGAUUGCAUGUUUUCCCAUGGUAUGGAUGACCAGUCAAGUAUGGAGCACCAAGAUAAAACAAGCCUUUCUAGCAACUGAAGAUCACCUACACUUGUUGGAAGUCUCCUGAGGUUUUCACAGCCUCUUAGGUUCAACAGAAAUAACUUUUUCAAGCCCCCGAUUGAUUCAUCAAUCUCUAUCAGCCUUUUGCAAUGCUUGAGAAAUAACCUCUCAAGAUUGGGAAGCUCCGAAAAGUUGGGACUUCUAGAAAGGUUAUAUGAAUUACUGAGAUCAAGGAUUCUCAAUAGUCUUAGAAACUGUCAGAAAAAUAGGUAGAAAUUAUCAAGGUUAUAUGAAUAACAUUAAUCCAAUUAGAAUGAAAAGCAUAUGUAAAA